RNAcentral lists this ribosomal RNA (515 nucleotides) under uncultured bacterium. RNAcentral describes it as "partial 16S ribosomal RNA". It matches the Rfam family "Bacterial small subunit ribosomal RNA", at positions 28 to 523 of the family's 1533-position model. The record is from RNAcentral.
GAUGAACGCUGGCGGCGUGCCUAAUACAUGCAAGUCGAGCGAAUGGAUUGAGAGCUUGCUCUUAUGAAGUUAGCGGCGGACGGGUGAGUAACACGUGGGUAACCUGCCCAUAAGACUGGGAUAACUCCGGGAAACCGGGGCUAAUACCGGAUAACAUUUUGAACCGCAUGGUUCGAAAUUGAAAGGCGGCUUCGGCUGUCACUUAUGGAUGGACCCGCGUCGCAUUAGCUAGUUGGUGAGGUAACGGCUCACCAAGGCAACGAUGCGUAGCCGACCUGAGAGGGUGGUCGGCCACACUGGGACUGAGAAACGGCCCAGACUCCUACGGGAGGCAGCAGUAGGGAAUCUUCCGCAAUGGACGAAAGUCUGACGGAGCAACGCCGCGUGAGUGAGGAAGGCUUUCGGGUCGUAAAACUCUGUUGUUAGGGAAGAACAAGUGCUAGUUGAAUAAGCUGGCACCUUGACGGUACCUAACCAGAAAGCCACGGCUAACUACGUGCCAGCCGCCGCGGUAA